GACGAACGCUGGCGGCGUGCUUAACACAUGCAAGUCGUACGGUAAGGCCCUUUCGGGGGUACACGAGUGGCGAACGGGUGAGUAACACGUGAGUAACCUGCCCACAACUUUGGGAUAACGCUAGGAAACUGGUGCUAAUACUGGAUAUGUGCUCCUUCUGCAUGGUGGGGGUUGGAAAGCUCCGGCGGUUGUGGAUGGACUCGCGGCCUAUCAGCUUGUUGGUGGGGUAGUGGCCUACCAAGGCGGCGACGGGUAGCCGGCCUGAGAGGGUGACCGGCGACAGUGGGACUGAGAUACGGCCCAGACUCCUACGGGAGGCAGCAGUGGGGAAUAUUGCACAAUGGGCGCAAGCCUGAUGCAGCAACGCCGCGUGCGGGAUGACGGCCUUCGGGUUGGAAACCGCUUUCAGCAGGGACGAAGCUUCUUGUGACGGUACCUGCAGAAGAAGCACCGGCUAACUACGUG
RNAcentral lists this ribosomal RNA (465 nucleotides) under uncultured bacterium. RNAcentral describes it as "partial 16S ribosomal RNA". It matches the Rfam family "Bacterial small subunit ribosomal RNA", at positions 28 to 507 of the family's 1533-position model. The record is from RNAcentral.